This 521-nucleotide ribosomal RNA is filed under the name uncultured archaeon. RNAcentral describes it as "bacterial SSU rRNA". It matches the Rfam family "Archaeal small subunit ribosomal RNA", at positions 372 to 893 of the family's 1478-position model. The record is from RNAcentral.
AAGGGGACCUCGAGUGCCAGGUUACAAAUCUGGCUGUCGUGAUGCCUAAAAAGCAUUGCAUAGCAAGGGCCGGGCAAGACCGGUGCCAGCCGCCGCGGUAACACCGGCGGCUCGAGUGGUAACCGUUAUUAUUGGGUCUAAAGGGUCUGUAGCCGGCCGGAUAAGUCUCUUGAGAAAUCCAGCAGCUCAACUGUUGGGCUUUCAGGAGAUACUGUUCGGCUCGAGGCCGGGAGAGGUGAGAGGUACUUCAGGGGUAGGGGUGAAAUCUUGUAAUCCUUGAAGGACCACCAGUGGCGAAGGCGUCUCACCAGAACGGACCUGACGGCAAGGGACGAAAGCUAGGGGCACGAACCGGAUUAGAUACCCGGGUAGUCCUAGCCGUAAACGAUACUCGCUAGGUGUCGGCCACGGUGCGACCGUUGUCGGUGCCGUAGGGAAGCCGUGAAGCGAGCCACCUGGGAAGUACGGCCGCAAGGCUGAAACUUAAAGGAAUUGGCGGGGGAGCACCACAACGGGUGGAG